UAAAGUAUGCAUCCCUGUAGAAACACAAUACAAAUCAAUGAUUUUGAAAGUCUUCAUACAAGAUUAAGUGAUUUUAAUGUUACUAUUUUAUUUUAUUUUAUUUUUUUCCAAAUAAAAUAAAAUCUUACAAACAGUAGUAUUGAGUUGAGAUAUUUUAUGAUGUCAUUGAUGCACAUUUACACUUGUGCAAUUAAUGACAAUACUUAAAAAUUACAAAAAAUGCUAAAAGAAUAAAGAAACUUUCAUAUUAUUUUCUAAAGUAAUAGGUAAAUGUGAAGUUAUAAAUAUUGAUUUUGCACAUGUUGUAUUUAUAAAACAAUAAAUUAUAAAUAAAUAUAUGUACUCUUUAAACAAAUGAAAGUGAAUUAUUUUUUGGGAAAAUUACGAAAAUUUCCCUUCAAAAUAUCUGAAAUUAAUCAUGUUACUCUUCAAUGUCACAUAGGUUAUAUUUAUUAUGACUAUGUGCUAUAAUGCAAUUUUUUUUAGUAUCUGAAUUCAAAAAUACAUUCAACAGACUCAUAUCAUUUGUCCAUCAAUUGAUCUGUUUGGAUUCUACAUUAUGUGAGCCUUUUUUUUUUUUUUUUUUUUUUUUUUUUCCCUUCUAUGCUGAAAGAAUAAUUAAGUACUAAUCUAAACAAACAAAUGAAGAGUGAUGUGUGAACUCCCAAAGUGUGGACAAUUUUUUUGUAAAUGAGAACAAGUAACUUGGAAGUAGUAAUGAAUUUUGUUAUUUUUUAUUGAUAUUAUCAUUACCUUAGUAUUUUUAUUCUUUUGAUUCCCAAGAGGGAAUUAAAUAGGGUUCCCGCUCUUCCCAACUUGAAUUGGGUGCUUUCAUUGUGUUUUUUUCCCUCCUUUGCCGUUUAUAACCAUUGU
Molecule: long non-coding RNA, 873 nt
Filed under: Physcomitrium patens
Lineage: Eukaryota; Viridiplantae; Streptophyta; Bryopsida; Funariales; Funariaceae
Description: long non-coding RNA (PPAT_LNC005013)
Source: RNAcentral